RNAcentral lists this ribosomal RNA (393 nucleotides) under Triticum aestivum (bread wheat). RNAcentral's name for it is "partial small subunit ribosomal RNA". Lineage: Eukaryota; Viridiplantae; Streptophyta; Magnoliopsida; Poales; Poaceae. The record is from RNAcentral.
AUGGCUCCUACCGAGGCUGAGGAUGAUGUAGAGGAGGGAGAAGAGAAGAAGAGGGAAAGGAAGGCAGCCGGAGCUGCUUUCACGUGGAUUCAAAAUAACUUUGCGACGUGCCCUCCGGAUGCAACUGAUGAUGUGAUCCAGACACAUGCUCGUGUGUAUAUGUGGUACAUUGUGUCGAGGACUUUGUUUCCUGACUCCACUGGCAAGAAUGCUCCAUGGAUGUGGCUGAAGGCGUUGACCGUCUUCGAUAGCAAAUGGAGCUGGGGUUCAGCGACUCUUGCCUACUUGUACCGACAGGUAGUUGGUCUGUUUUGUGAUCAACUCAUUUAUUCAUUAGCAAUGCAAGCUUGCUGUCAAGUUAACAUUGUUUUUCUUUCAUAUGUAGCUGGAUGA